AGUGAACGCUGGCGGUAGGCCUAACACAUGCAAGUCGAACGGCAGCACAGUAAGAGCUUGCUCUUACGGGUGGCGAGUGGCGGACGGGUGAGGAAUACAUCGGAAUCUACUUUUUCGUGGGGGAUAACGUAGGGAAACUUACGCUAAUACCGCAUACGACCUACGGGUGAAAGCAGGGGAUCUUCGGACCUUGCGCGAUUGAAUGAGCCGAUGUCGGAUUAGCUAGUUGGCGGGGUAAAGGCCCACCAAGGCGACGAUCCGUAGCUGGUCUGAGAGGAUGAUCAGCCACACUGGAAGUGAGACACGGUCCAGACUCCUACGGGAGGCAGCAGUGGGGAAUAUUGGACAAAGGGCGCAAGCCUGAUCCAGCCAUACCGCGUGUGUGAAGAAGGCGUUCGGGUUGUAAAGCCCUUUUGUUGGGAAAGAAAAGCAGCAGGUUAAUACCCCGCUGUUCUGACGGUACCCAAAGAAUAAGCACCGGCUAACUUCGUG
This 492-nucleotide ribosomal RNA is filed under the name uncultured bacterium. Its description in RNAcentral is "partial 16S ribosomal RNA". It matches the Rfam family "Bacterial small subunit ribosomal RNA", at positions 29 to 507 of the family's 1533-position model. The record is from RNAcentral.